RNAcentral lists this RNase P RNA (321 nucleotides) under Halobacteriales archaeon QH_6_68_27. RNAcentral describes it as "partial RNase P RNA component". It matches the Rfam family "Archaeal RNase P". From Rfam's summary of the family: Ribonuclease P (RNase P) is a ubiquitous endoribonuclease, found in archaea, bacteria and eukarya as well as chloroplasts and mitochondria. Its best characterised activity is the generation of mature 5'-ends of tRNAs by cleaving the 5'-leader elements of precursor-tRNAs. Lineage: Archaea; Methanobacteriati; Methanobacteriota; Halobacteria; Halobacteriales. The record is from RNAcentral.
CGGGAGACCGCUGGCGCUGGAACAGAAACGAGACCCCUCUCCCCGACCGAUGAGGCGCGCGAACCCCGAGCGAGGCAUCCGCCGAAGCGAGGGGGAGUUAACCCGCCGAGGGAUAGCGUGGUCGCGUCAGCGACCACGUUGAUGCCGAACGGGCUUCGGCCCGUUCGCGUUUCCGAGACGGCUCCGCCGUCUCGCCACGGGAGAGAACGGAUGGAACGGCGAAUCCUCACCGGUGCAAGCCCGCGCGACAGGUAGCCCGGACGCGGCGCGGGCGCUCAGCCGAAUGCCGGUAGAACAGAAGGGGGCUUACUCCCCUCGGCC